AAACCAUGGUGUGGGCAUUUCCUCAUUAACUCCUUGUAUCUCUCCCAAGCCUCAUACAAGACUCGAAAUCUCCUGUAGAAAUGAUGUGAUCAUUUUCCAAUUUU
Molecule: small nucleolar RNA, 104 nt
Organism: Pistacia vera
Lineage: Eukaryota; Viridiplantae; Streptophyta; Magnoliopsida; Sapindales; Anacardiaceae
Source: RefSeq, a predicted model, not a curated record